Molecule: non-coding RNA, 32 nt
Filed under: Mus musculus (house mouse)
Lineage: Eukaryota; Metazoa; Chordata; Mammalia; Rodentia; Muridae
Source: RNAcentral
UAAGCCACAAACAUCUUGAGAGCUGCACAGGU